UUUACUUUCAGACUUUUAGAUAAGAAGCAGGGUACACGUCAAAAUUACUUGCUGUCUUUGUACAGUUUUCUAAGGUUAGUUUAGUCAUCUAAUGAAUAACUGUUUCAUGAAUUUCACAGAGGUCAAGGCAGGAGGAUAAACAUUCAGCAAUACUAAUAAUGUGUGGAAUGCCCAUUAAAUGUCAGUAAUGUACCACAACACUGCUUCAAAGCAGCCCUGAAAUCUCACAUUGCUACUUAACAAACCGAAUAUUUACAUGUAGUUUCACCUGAACUACCAGUCUUCUACAAAAUGCCCCAGGACACCAGGACAGUCAUCAUUCCCAGCUACUGUCGUGUGGAACUGAGCCAUCUUUGAGAAGAAACGCUGCAAGGUGACACAGCAGAAAGACGCAUGAAUGAAUGAACAUGGCUGCUAUUAUACCAACAACCAUAAUGCCGCAACAAAAAAAAAGUGAUCGUUCAGCAA
Protopterus annectens (West African lungfish) is the source of this 468-nucleotide long non-coding RNA. RefSeq lists it as uncharacterized. The record is from RefSeq and is a predicted model, not a curated record. The transcript is spliced from 3 exons. Lineage: Eukaryota; Metazoa; Chordata; Ceratodontiformes; Protopteridae.